Molecule: ribosomal RNA, 391 nt
Filed under: Chrysophyceae sp.
Lineage: Eukaryota; Chrysophyceae
Description: partial small subunit ribosomal RNA
Rfam family: Eukaryotic small subunit ribosomal RNA
Source: RNAcentral
AUUCCAGCUCCAAUAGCGUAUACUAAAGUUGUUGCAGUUAAAAAGCUCGUAGUUGAAUUUCUGGUCGUGGCGACCGGUCCGCCCCUCACGGGGUGUGCACCUGGUCUCUACGUCCAUCCUCGGGGAGAGCGUGUCUGGCAUUCAGUUGUCGGGCGCGGGAUCCUCGUCAUUUACUGUGAGCAAAAUAGAGUGUUCAAAGCAGGCUUAGGCCGUUGAAUACAUUAGCAUGGAAUAAUAAGAUAGGACCUUGGUCUAUUUUGUUGGUUUGCAUUCCAAGGUAAUGAUUAAUAGGGAUAGUUGGGGGUAUUCGUAUUCAAUUGUCAGAGGUGAAAUUCUUGGAUUUAUGGAAGACGAACUACUGCGAAAGCAUUUACCAAGGAUGUUUUCAUCA